UACGGAGGGGGCUAGCGUUAUUCGGAAUUACUGGGCGUAAAGCGCACGUAGGCGGACUGGAAAGUCAGAGGUGAAAGCCCGGGGCUCAACCCCGGAACUGCCUUUGAAACUCCCAGUCUUGAGGUCGAGAGAGGUGAGUGGAAUUCCGAGUGUAGAGGUGAAAUUCGUAGAUAUUCGGAGGAACACCAGUGGCGAAGGCGGCUCACUGGCUCGAUACUGACGCUGAGGUGCGAAAGCGUGGGGAGCAAACAGG
RNAcentral lists this ribosomal RNA (253 nucleotides) under uncultured Rhodobacter sp. RNAcentral's name for it is "partial 16S ribosomal RNA". It matches the Rfam family "Bacterial small subunit ribosomal RNA", at positions 524 to 776 of the family's 1533-position model. The record is from RNAcentral. Lineage: Bacteria; Pseudomonadati; Pseudomonadota; Alphaproteobacteria; Rhodobacterales.